This 27-nucleotide non-coding RNA is filed under the name Mus musculus (house mouse). Lineage: Eukaryota; Metazoa; Chordata; Mammalia; Rodentia; Muridae. The record is from RNAcentral.
UGCACCCACAUGUGUACACGUGCACCC